AGUGAACGCUGGCGGUAGGCCUAACACAUGCAAGUCGAACGGCAGCACAGUAAGAGCUUGCUCUUACGGGUGGCGAGUGGCGGACGGGUGAGGAAUACAUCGGAAUCUACUUUUUCGUGGGGGGUAACGUAGGGAAACUUACGCUAAUACCGCAUACGACCUACGGGUGAAAGCAGGGGAUCUUCGGACCUUGCGCGAUUGAAUGAGCCGAUGUCGGAUUAGCUAGUUGGCGGGGUAAAGGCCCACCAAGGCGACGAUCCGUAGCUGGUCUGAGAGGAUGAUCGGCCACACUGGAGCUGAGACACGGUCCAGACUCCUACGGGAGGCAGCAGUGGGGAAUAUUGGACAAUGGGCGCAAGCCUGAUCCAGCCAUACCGCGUGGGUGAAGAAGGCCUUCGGGUUGUAAAGCCCUUUUGUUGGGAAAGAAAAGCAGCAGGUUAAUACCCCGCUGUUCUGACGGUACCCAAAGAAUAAGCACCGGCUAACUUCGUG
RNAcentral lists this ribosomal RNA (492 nucleotides) under uncultured bacterium. RNAcentral describes it as "partial 16S ribosomal RNA". It matches the Rfam family "Bacterial small subunit ribosomal RNA", at positions 29 to 507 of the family's 1533-position model. The record is from RNAcentral.